CGUAACAAGGUUUCCGUAGGUGAACCUGCGGAAGGAUCAUUACUGAUUUGCUUAAUUGCACCACAUGUGUUUUUUAUUGAACAAAUUUCUUUGGUGGCGGGAGCAAUCCUACCGCCAGAGGUUAUAACUAAACCAAACUUUUUAUUUACAGUCAAACUUGAUUUAUUAUUACAAUAGUCAAAACUUUCAACAACGGAUCUCUUGGUUCUCGCAUCGAUGAAGAACGCAGCGAAAUGCGAUACGUAAUAUGAAUUGCAGAUAUUCGUGAAUCAUCGAAUCUUUGAACGCACAUUGCGCCCUUUGGUAUUCCAAAGGGCAUGCCUGUUUGAGCGUCAUUUCUCCCUCAAACCCCCGGGUUUGGUGUUGAGCAAUACGCUAGGUUUGUUUGAAAGAAUUUAACGUGGAAACUUAUUUUAAGCGACUUAGGUUUAUCCAAAAACGCUUAUUUUGCUAGUGGCCACCACAAUUUAUUUCAUAACUUUGACCUCAAAUCAGGUAGGACUACCCGCUGAACUUAAGCAUAUCAAUAA
RNAcentral lists this unclassified non-coding RNA (530 nucleotides) under Candida tropicalis. RNAcentral describes it as "sequence contains 18S rRNA gene, ITS1, 5.8S rRNA gene, ITS2, 28S rRNA gene". The stretch from base 182 to 335 matches the Rfam family "5.8S ribosomal RNA". Lineage: Eukaryota; Fungi; Ascomycota; Pichiomycetes; Serinales; Debaryomycetaceae. The record is from RNAcentral.